This 253-nucleotide ribosomal RNA is filed under the name uncultured bacterium. Its description in RNAcentral is "partial 16S ribosomal RNA". It matches the Rfam family "Bacterial small subunit ribosomal RNA", at positions 524 to 776 of the family's 1533-position model. The record is from RNAcentral.
UACGUAGGGGGCAAGCGUUGUCCGGAAUCAUUGGGCGUAAAGCGCGUGUAGGCGGCUCGGUAAGUCCGCUCUGAAAGUCCAGGGCUCAACCCUGGGAUGCGGGUGGAUACUGCCGGGCUCGAGUCCGGAAGAGGCGAGUGGAAUUCCCGGUGUAGCGGUGAAAUGCGCAGAUAUCGGGAGGAACACCAGUGGCGAAGGCGGCGACCUGGGCCAAUACUGACGCUGAGGUGCGAAAGCGUGGGGAGCAAACAGG